GAUCUUGGUUCAGAACGAACGCUGGUAGCGUGGAUUAGGCAUGCAAGUCGAACGGGAUCAGGAAGGCAGCAAUGUCGGCCUGUGAGAGUGGCGGAAGGGCGAGGAACACGUGAGCAACCUGUCCUUGAGGUGGGGAAAACUCCGGGAAACUGGGGCUAAUACCGAAUGUGGCGCCCGGAGACAUCUCCGGAGCGCUAAAGGGGGCCGAAAGGCUCUCCCUCUUCGAGGGGCUCGCGCACCAUCAGCUUGUUGGCGGGGUAACGGCCCACCAAGGCUUACGGUUAGCUGGUCUGAGAGGAUGGCCAGCCGCACUGGGACUGAGAUACUGCCCAGACUCCUACGGGAGGCUGCAGUCGAGGACCAUUCGCAAUGGGGGAAACCCUGACGAUGCGACGCUGCGUGGAGGAUGAAGGCCUUCGGGUCGUAAACUCCUGUCAUGACGGAAAAGGAGAGGGGUGCCAACACCACCCUUAUUUGAUGGUACGUCAAGAGGAAGAGACGGCUAACUCUGUGCCAGCAGCGGC
RNAcentral lists this ribosomal RNA (524 nucleotides) under uncultured bacterium. RNAcentral's name for it is "bacterial SSU rRNA". It matches the Rfam family "Bacterial small subunit ribosomal RNA", at positions 15 to 518 of the family's 1533-position model. The record is from RNAcentral.